Haliaeetus leucocephalus (bald eagle) is the source of this 133-nucleotide long non-coding RNA. RefSeq lists it as uncharacterized. Lineage: Eukaryota; Metazoa; Chordata; Aves; Accipitriformes; Accipitridae. The record is from RefSeq and is a predicted model, not a curated record. The transcript has 3 exons.
UUUUAAGAUUCGGCUGGACAGGGUGCUGGGCCGUCUUGUCUAGACCGUGCUUUUGCCCAGAAAGGGAGGACCAGAUGAUCCUUGAGGUCCCUUCCAACCUGGUGUUCUAUGAUUCUUUGAUACAUGUAUCUUA